This 433-nucleotide ribosomal RNA is filed under the name uncultured bacterium. Its description in RNAcentral is "partial 16S ribosomal RNA". It matches the Rfam family "Bacterial small subunit ribosomal RNA", at positions 29 to 507 of the family's 1533-position model. The record is from RNAcentral.
AACGAACGCUGGCGGCAUGCCUAACACAUGCAAGUCGAACGAGACCUUCGGGUCUAGUGGCGCACGGGUGCGUAACGCGUGGGAAUCUGCCCUUGGGUUCGGAAUAACAGUUGGAAACGACUGCUAAUACCGGAUGAUGACGUAAGUCCAAAGAUUUAUCGCCCAAGGAUGAGCCCGCGUAGGAUUAGCUAGUUGGUGAGGUAAAGGCUCACCAAGGCGACGAUCCUUAGCUGGUCUGAGAGGAUGAUCAGCCAGACUGGGACUGAGACACGGCCCAGACUCGGACGGGAGGCAGCAGUGGGGAAUAUUGGGCAAUGGGCGAAAGCCUGAUCCAGCAAUGCCGCGUGAGUGAUGAAGGCGUUAGGGUUGUAAAGCUCUUUUACCCGGGAUGAUAAUGACAGUACCGGGAGAAUAAGCUCCGGCUAACUCCGUG